UGUGCUGCUUCUGCUUGCACUGUUGGCUAAGUAUACCUGGCCUGAGAAACUACGUUACUAGCUAACUGCAUUAGCAUCUAGCUAACAUUAAAUUAAUAGAAAGCAAUGAAAGUGGUAGUUGAAUUACAGCUCAGGGUGGUAAGAAUGUUUUGUUAAUACAACUAGCUGCUUCCCAAUAGUUUACUUUUGUGAGGAGCGUUGUUUACAGUGUUGCAUCUAGCUAACGUUACCUGGAAACUAGCCCGUCCAUUUAGCACUAAUGCCUUGGGUUCUCGAGAGCAACCUGGAAACUAAACUCAACUGUCUAUGUUCCAACACAUGCAUAUCUAGCAAGUUUGUAAGUUUUCAUGCAAGAUAUGCAUAACGAUAAUGACAUUGUUGAUAUACUUGUGGGAUCCAUCCACAGUGUUUAAUUUUACCGGACGUUAUCAUUUUGAUUAGCCUUGAGUGUACUGUACUGGCACUACUGCCUCUGCGAUGAGGCCAGGGCUUUUAUGGCACAGGUGUUCAUCAUCAUUGGAGAGUUAUGGUUUAAGCUCCAAUUUGGAACUUCCUUUUCAAUUGCUACAUUAGCAAUGGUGAACAUACAUCCUAACUGUUCGCAAAGCCGAUGUCUUGACACCAUAACCAUUUAUUCAAUAUAAUGAGGUAUUUCAGGUAUCAUGCCCUGGUGUGCAUUUGCCAGCUAAGGAUGACAUCUACCUCAGUGUGUGCUUCAUGGGCCAAUACCGCAAGUUGGAGUGUCUCCCCCCUGUCUUCCCACUCCUGUUUCAAGAGAAGAUGGCUCAAUGUGACAUGUCUCUUCCUGAUCAUUCUAAACCAAGGGUGGCCAACCAACUCUUCUGGAGAGCUAUCAGGUGUGCAUGCUUUUGUUCCAGCCCAGCUCUUGCACAGUAGAUAAUAACUACACAGCUGUUCAUCAACAGGCUUGAUUUGCUGACUCCGGUGGGUUUGAGCAGGGCUGGAACAAAAGCCUGUAUGCCCUGUAGCGCUCUUGGAUGCCAGGAGGUUUGGCACCAUGCAGCUGUCCCAUACACUAGUAACAGAAAUCCUAAAAUGUGUAUGAACAAGAUUUUCUAAAUGAGAUUUGUUCAGUUUCUCUUCACAUUCAGGUGUUCCACUAUGCUGUUGGCCCAGGAGAUGUUGCACAGAUGCUGGAAUGUGAAACCGUCAAAGUUGAAUUGGGUAUUGCUCCAAGGUCAGAGUUCUCCACCAGAACAACAUCAGUGAGUGCUCUGCAAACGCCGAGGUCAACCACACCCAUCUCAGUUCUCCAGUGAGGACAGUGGUGCCAGAGAAACACACUAAAAGGUUCCGAAAUGGGCAUUGAGGAGGAGUUUGGGAUGGUGCCCGAUGGGCACCAGCGAAGCCCAGGUCGCGCUCUCUCUCCCCGUACAAAUCCAGCCAGAUGGAUGGUUGUCAUGGAAACAUGGGUUAACUGGCACAGCUCAGUUUGGGUUCAAGCUGGGAUAUAGAUGAGGAGUUUUUAUCCUGCCAUGUGAGUAUAUUUGACUUCUAGUGGUGUGAGCUGUCAUGAUGACAAAUGACAGUAUGACAUCUGCUAUGUCAUGCCAGCGAGUCAGCGACAAGUCACCAGGCUCAAGUGUUAAGUACAUACAUAGUUGUAUUGAUGUGUGUUUGUGUUAUUUUAUUUUGUUUGUGUGUGUGCGUGUCUGUGUGUGUGUGUGUGUGUGUGUGUGUGUGUGUGUGUGUGUGUGUGGCAUUACAGCCAGCAGGUGGCAGAGAAUAGCUCACUGUUAUUUGUAGCGAUGAGGAAUAUUCCCAGAUGCAUUUUUAUCCUCAGCUCUGCUCAGUCAUGUAAAUUAGUAAUGAUUUCCUGAACUGUACAUAACACGCUGUUAUUGAGAUGACAUUGUUGAUAAAGGAAAUAGGACAUUGAACUCAACUAAUAAGCUAAGAUUAGAUAGUACUUUAUCAAUCCCCUAAAGACGAAUUUUGAUUGCACAAGCUAAUACAUACUACAACAACAACAAUAAUAAUUAGACAAUAAAACACAACAAAGGACACGCAGACAGUAAAAGCAGCACAUCAUCAAUUCAUGUAAAAGACUAGUGUCCACCUCUGGACACCAGUUCCAAAUAAAACGAAACCAUUCAUUCCAUUUGGCAAAUAGGGUUAUUUCAGGCUUUGGACUCCCAACUCAAUCAAAUUGGUUCAUUUUAUGUAUACCCCUUCAAGUGACGUGUAUCGGACUGAUACUUAGUAGCAUGUCAUGGUUUUUUAACCAUCUGCUUUGCUGUGUUCUCCUCCUGUCCCUAGAAGAGGGACCCUUGGCUCGGUACUGGCAACUCCCCCACACCUCCCCUGUCAUGGCCAGACGCACCCUGACCAACGGCUCCUCUCCUCGUCUCCCACACUCCCCAUCCUCUGACAAUCUCCUGUACUUCCCCCCCCCAGGUCCAAGCCAGCAAUGUUCCCUGGCUAACAAAGGGGGGUCCCCCACCCCUACACCCAUACCCAUCCCUUCCAUGCUUUGGUGCUCCUACAUGGAAAGCUAGAGCCAAAAUGGGUCAUGCCCAAGUUCCCAGGGCACAUGGGAGGAGGUCCAACACCUAUCACCCCAAGAGCAGUGCACAGACUCUCCCAUUAGCCCAGAUCUGUUUUUGUUUAAUCUUGCCAACUCAUUGACAAUGACAUAUGUGUUGGCAAGAUUUGACAGUGACACACAGUACCAGUCAAACGUUUGGACACACCUUCU
Molecule: long non-coding RNA, 2719 nt
Organism: Coregonus clupeaformis (lake whitefish)
Lineage: Eukaryota; Metazoa; Chordata; Actinopteri; Salmoniformes; Salmonidae
Exons: 6
Source: RefSeq, a predicted model, not a curated record